Long non-coding RNA from Acanthaster planci (crown-of-thorns starfish), 3218 nucleotides. The record is from RefSeq and is a predicted model, not a curated record. Lineage: Eukaryota; Metazoa; Echinodermata; Asteroidea; Valvatida; Acanthasteridae.
UGCGGAUCACGGUUAAAAGGUGGCCUCCUCCUCUUCCGCAGUCGGGUCACGUGACUGCGACAUUAAUCACCGAGGGAGGAGGAACCGGUGACGUCACCAGUGACCAGUGACAGAUAUAAAAACAUGACGCUGUCCGCAAACAAAACCAUUUUUCGGCUCAAGUUUCCAACUUCGAAAGCGUCCGAGAUACCACCCGAGUAAAUGGACGGCUGCCACGCGCGGUUGAAUGCAGGGUAAUCGACAACAGCUCCUCAUCCAUAGAACGCGCACUUGGAGAUCCCUUGUUUAGAUAUCCACCAAGAUACAUCAAUAUAUCUAAAAGGAAGCACGGAGCAGACAUCAACACUUUUCCUGUUAAUACGAAGCCGUCAUACUCAGCGAAGCACGGCACGACAUUCCCACACGACAGACGCGCGAACUUUCGUGCUUAGAAUACAGAUCAGACAGUACUUUGUUUUGAACUUGCAAAGCCCGCGAAUUGUUUGGUUCGAAGUCACACGACUCCUUUAUCACACAAAGCAAUGGAUAUGAAACCACAGAACGUGGUAGCGGUAAUAUGCAUCGCAGUUAGUCUAGCGGCAGUCGUGCAGGCCAGCCGAUACGGCAGCUUCGGAGAAGAAACAUGUCAGCCCAAUGAAUUCUGCCUCGGCCGUCGCUACAGAAACAGAGUCCAGACUUGCGCAUGCCCAGACGAAGUCCACGAAAUCGACGGCCUUUUAGUAUCCAUUCCCACGCAUUGCCAGUACGACUACCGUAAACGUCACUUCCUGUGCAGGCCAAAGGUCAAUUACGAAGGUACUGACGAGCAUGGUCGGUAGGAAUCAUAUGGACGCCCUGGAAGCUUCAUCUCCAGACUUUUCAACGAAUUCACCAACAAGAGGCGAUAAUGUCAAAGAGUUCUCCAUACCUACGGGGUAUCCUUAUGGACUUGAUCGAUUUUUUUUAAUGGACUGUAUAGUUAAUCAUCGUCAACACACAGCGUAAUUGAGCCACUCGGCUAUUUGUACAUGGACCACACUUAAAGACUGAACGAGCCUAUCCAAAGUGGCCUCUAAAUAGCAGCAGCCGUGAGACUGCGGUUACUGGAUAUGAAUGGACCGUCAACUUUGAGCCAGCCGACCACCAGCUUGAGUGCUGCAGAGGAAGUAGUUACUUUAUUUACCCAUAAUGCCCAAACUCAGACUUUCUUUGAAAACCCACUAAGGAUUUGCAGACGAGCGUAAAAUUAAUUGGAUUUUGAAAUAAAUUUCAUUCUUUAUAACUCGUCAAUUACAGCAAUAUCGACUGACAGCAAUCGCAAGUACAGUGUAAUAGGGAGAAAUGUGUUCGUAUGAGUUGAAUUGUUAUACAUGUAUUAGCAACUUAUAAAACAAUCUCAUCCGUUGCCCUUUGCAGUAAUGGUAAUGGACACAUCAUGUUUCGCACACGCGUGCUGAGCCUUGUGCGCGAAAUCUAUUUCAACAACCUGAACGUGCAUAACCCUCUGAGCUGUCCAGCAACAGCCGAGCGCAUCCAAGCAAGGAAACGCAGCAUUAAUGACAACACCCUUCGGUGUCAAGUAAGAGAGUUUGCCAAACAUGAACAUGUUUGAUUCAAGUACAUUCACAAACCCUUUAACUGGCCUGUUGGCUCCGGGAUUUAAAAAAAAAUUCAACAUCGUAUCACACUCUUGCGCAAGCAGUAAGCGCACACAAAACAUUUUUUGGUAGGACCAUGUCUGAAUUACUUGGCUGCGGCUUAAAGAUCACGCACGAAAAUGUUGCAGGUAAAGCCACUUCGAGUAGAGUUUUGCCCAGUUUCACGCGGCUGAGUAAUUCGGACACGGCUUCAGCUUGUGACUCGCCGAAAUGCACGCAAUCAUCGAGCCAAGAACGUGCUGAAAGCUAGUAUGACUGCGGUGAUGACACCAUUGUAUGGGCCUCGAGCUGGACCAAGAGAGGGCGCUAUUUUCUUAGCAUUGGAUGCUCCUUUGGUCGGGAUUUGACUUAGCUGGGUCGUGAACGAAUAGAAAAUACACGCGUUACAGUUGCAUUACUACCAACAAACUGAGCACUCUCUAUCAACGAGGCUCUUUUCAACCGAUGAGGGAUGCUUCGGCUCAAGGCGGCUAGGCUGGUUUAUACUCCAUACUAAAGUGGAAGCGAGGCGAAUUUGACGUCAGCAAACACUUUCAGCCAAAUUCGCUUGAGCUAAGAUCUCAACUUUUGCAACUUUGCAAAACGAAAAUAUCUGAGGUCACAAUUUCGCUCACCAGUUCUUUUUUGAGUCAACAUAAACCGGUCUUGAUUGUAUCUAUUUGGAGAAGACCACUCUCUGACACCGUUGUAAUAAUCUUUGGAUUUUCUUUUAGUGUUUUGUGGUGUGUUUGCAAUUUAUCAAUCGUCGCAAACCACUCUUAGUUUAAUGGAACCAUUGCCAUAAAACUAUAUUGAUUAUUAAAAAUUAAUUGAUAUAGACAUGUGAGAUAGACAAAUUCUGGAAUGUCAUUCAAUUAGAUCCAAUGCUAGUUGGAGUAAUGGUGUAUAAAGCCAACUGUAGUAUUUAUUAUGUCAAGUAUUUUCUUUUCAAACAUUUUAAUAUUUGCCUUGUGUAAUCGUCUACUAUGUGCAUAUACUAAUUAUUGAAAUUGUUUUGUCUUGGUUGCUAUCUUUGAGUGUUCUGAUUCGUGUAUCUUUCAAUGUAUCGGAAAAAUGGAACAGUAAGGUUAUGUUUUGUGAUGGUAACGUCGUUUCCAAUAAUUGAUAAUAAUCACGUAAUCUGAAACAUAAUCAAUAUUUAAUAAGAUUGCUUUCAAUUUUAAUGUCGAGUUGAUUCUUUUUAGUGGUGCAUCGACUCAACUGAAGCCUUCAGGCAAGACAUUCAUUCGUACGCUUUCUUUGUAGUAUCCACCCUAUAACUAUGUUAACGGAAAAGCAUUUGUAAUGAUGUAUACAUAGGUAUUGGAUUAGAUAUAAAUGCACGCUCAUUUUUUACUAAUCCAUUAUUACGUGUUUGGAAGUUGCUAAUUGCAAAAUGGGCUAUGUGGACAGAAUAUUGGUCGUUUAUGUUUUUCACCUAUGGUUUGCCGAUUUCCCCGUUAUGUUUGUGCGUUUAAUACCUAAGUUGUUUGUGUAAAUUCUGGCCUUGAGCAGGAAAUGUGAAAUCCUCUGACGUUGCAUGUGAAGCCAAACAACUUUUGCUUGAUUUGAAAUAAAUAUCUAUCGUGACUAGUACCAAUA